Molecule: non-coding RNA, 510 nt
Organism: Paramuricea clavata
Lineage: Eukaryota; Metazoa; Cnidaria; Anthozoa; Malacalcyonacea; Plexauridae
Source: the annotation of a GenBank genome assembly
GUUGGACCUGAGAGCAGUAGUCAAAGUGGGGUUGGAUUAUCGAUAAGUAUAUUGUAAUUAACGUUUGAUAAUCUACUAUAUCUCGCAGUCGCCUUAAGAUGCUGAGACUCAAAAAUUUCGUAAUCAAACCAAUUAUACAUUUAUUUGGUAUUUCCAGUAGUAUCAAUGGGAAAAGUGAUCAAAAUGUAUUUUCCCAAAAUUAAUCCAUGCAAAAUAUAUUAAAUAAUUAGGUUUUGGAAUUAUACGUUAAAAUAAGCUUUCUCGCUAAAUCCACGAUUUUUAAUCCGAUGUAAGGCAUUCACAUAAAAAUUAUAAAUUCUUAAAAAAAAUUCUCUACAAGCUACUGCUACAUUCUUGAGUGGUAAUCCUCGCUUUUCUGGCAGGCAACUUUCCAAGCUUCCACGGCAUGUUCCACUUUGAUAUCGUCCGAUAUAUAUUCCUGUAGACCUUCGAUGAUGUCACAUCCCUUUUCCUCUAGUUUGGCAUUGAUAUACUGUGAUAAACUAAAGU